CCCAGAGAGAGAGAGAUGGCUUCUGCAGUGGCAGUUGCUGCCGCCUUCAGAGACAGUUGGCAGCGCAGUUGGGCAGCAGCCAUCUUAGGAGGACAGAACAGCAACUUGUAGCAGAGGCAGCUGCUGGUGUGUGACAGGAGUGCUGUACAGCUUAUGAAAAGCCAGAUUCUAGUCCCAGUGACCGGAGAUCUUCAUUGUAGCAGCCAGUCAGUAAUGUCAGCCUCCUGUGGGGAUCCCACUGUUUCAAAUGGUGCUGGCUGCCAGGCAUCUGACAGAGCAGAACAGUGAUGGGCUCUACUGACUGUGUAGCUGGAAACUAGGCCAUGCAGCCUACCCUCCCUUUUGAAGGACAGCCCUGGAGGUAGACCUGCUUUGGAGUAACAGAUGGUGGGAGGAGCAGAGACAGUGUCUUGCAGCAGCUGCAGACAGAGGUCAGCUUAUGAUGGUUAAUUGAGGCCAACCUAACCCUUGAACACAGACAGAGUAAAAGUGUAUUAUGGCUUUCACCCGUGGAUGGCAAAGAACAGAAAGAAUGCGCCCAGCAGAGCCUCAAGAAAUUGGCUGUUAUACAGAGAUUUUUGGCAUCUUCAAGAACACAACAAAUAUGAAUGGAAAAGAGUCACUCUUGAGAGAGCCUUGGAUAUAACGUAGUUGGAUACUUGAAUAUUCUGUAAAUAUAUAGAUUAUACAUCUAAUGCAUGGAGAGACUCACCAGUGGUGUGUUUAUGCAGGCAAUUCCUACAGCUGGGAGACCAUAGGAAGGCACCAAGGAUCCAAACAAUGCACAGAAAGAGGAACUUUGAAGAGGUUGGCCGAACCAUUCCUAGAUCGCUGUCAUCUAUGCUAUGGCACUGGGCAUAAGAUGAGAGCCCUAUCCUCCUAGAAGUGUAAUGAGAAGUAACUUCUUGGACAACGCAUGGUGCCCGUGCGACAGAGGGUCAUCAGCUAGCCUAACCCUUCUCAGACAUGCUCCCUGUCCCAGUCAAUCAGACCUUCAGUGUAUAUAUGCUUACAUAACCUUAUUGCAGUGCAAAUGGUCACAGAUAUAGUAUAUUUGUACAAUUAGAAUAUGUGAAAAUGAUAUCAAUAUGUGGCUGAUGCAAAGCUGAACAAAAGACAGCUGUACUUGCUCCUGCUUUGUGUAAAUGGGACUGAGGGCCUUAUUCAGGUAGCAUCGUAAGCGCAAUGCGAAUACAAUUUUUUAGAUUGUCCCGCAUUGUGCACGUGCAGGUCUCGUCCUGUGUGUGUACACGCAGUUAAUGCGGUUGGCUCGCAUUGACUUCGAACGCCUCUCCCAGGCAGAAGCGCUCGUGGGGUGGACAAGAGGUGUUCAUGGACUGUUGCAGGGCCUUGCAGGGAAAAUGGGGGUGGGUCAACGGGGGUGGCUGCGGGACGUUACACGCAGCCACUCCAAACGAAAAGAUGGUGGCGGGACUCCUGCCUUCGCAGCCAGGCUGCGCCGACAGAAAGAUCCCUAGUUUCUGCAACCACGCAUGAAUUGCUGUGCGAACACAAUUAGAGCGUCGUCGCAGUUGGAGGGCGGCGGGUAGCAUGCUGGCAGCCUUGCCCUGCGAUGGGCGGCCUCCGGCAUGCAAAAAAUCACAUUGCAAAUUCUGCUUUUUUAGCAGAAUUUGCAAUCCGUACUGAAUAGGGUCCUGAAUGCACUUAUUCGCCUGUAUGCAGAUUUAUGCAAAUCUCUGCAGUCUGACCACCUCAUAUAUGUAUCUGUAUGUCGUCAUUAUCAGUAUGUACUUGCCAUAGCCGUAUCUUGGAUCAAAAAAUACGUCUGUAAAUAGGCUUUAUUAUGCUUCUGUACAUUUCUGCAUAGCUCUUAAUUCCGUUGACACACCCUAAAAUGAAUUGUUAAUCUAGCACUUUUUUGUAGCACAUAAUAAUUAUUAUUUUUUUACUAAUGUAACACUAUUUAACACUCCGCACACAUCGCUAUAUGUUAACCUUACUGGCAUGCUCGGCGCCUGCAGUCUGGGAUUGCCAUUGUCGCUGUCUGCUGCCAAUCCUGCAUACUAACCCAUAUGACUCUGCAUAGCCUGUAGUUGCAUACACUUGGUUACAGAGCAUGUGCAGUGCAUAAAACGUGUGAUUUGCUCCACAGAUGGACUAGUGUUAAAAGUAGGAUCAGCCGUUAUACCUAACAUUUGAUGAUGUAUCCUACUACCUAACAAAGAAAACAAAUAUGUAUUAUAAAGAUCAGCUUUUAUUUAUAUUAUAUCCUUUUACCCUGUGCUAUUUCCCCUGCCUUCACCGGGGCCGACAACCCUGCAUCAUAUGGUUUUCUUUAAAGUUGUGUACGUACAGAGGCCCUCAUUCCGAGUUGAUCGCUCGCUAGCUGCUUUUAGCAGCACUGCAAACGCUAAGCCGCCGCCCUCUGGGAGUGUAUCUUAGCUUAGCAGAAGUGCGAACGAAAGGUUGGCAGAACUGCACAGGAAACAUUUCAUGCCGUUUCUGAGUAGCUCCAGACCUACUCCUAUCUUGCGAUGACUGCAGUCCCUUUAGUUCCUGGUUUCACGUCACAAACACGCCCUGCGUUCGACCAGCCACU
Pseudophryne corroboree (corroboree frog) is the source of this 2560-nucleotide long non-coding RNA. RefSeq lists it as uncharacterized. The record is from RefSeq and is a predicted model, not a curated record. NCBI's taxonomy places the organism in Eukaryota, Metazoa, Chordata, Amphibia, Anura, Myobatrachidae. The transcript has 6 exons.